GUGCCAGCCGCCGCGGUAAGACAGAGGGGGCAAGCGUUGUCCGGACUUACUGGGCGUAAAGCGCACGCAGGCGGUCACGGGCGUCGGUGCUGAAAGCGCGCCGCUUAACGGCGCAAUGCGUACCGAUACGCUGUGACUGGAGCAAUGCAGAGGCCAGUGGAAUUGCCGGUGUAGUGGUGAAAUGCGUAGAGAUCGGCAGGAACACCCAAGGGGAAGCCAGCUGGCUGGGCAUUUGCUGACGCUCAUGUGCGACAGCGUGGGGAGCGAACUGGAUUAGAUACCCGCGUAGUCC
This 292-nucleotide ribosomal RNA is filed under the name uncultured bacterium. Its description in RNAcentral is "partial 16S ribosomal RNA". It matches the Rfam family "Bacterial small subunit ribosomal RNA", at positions 505 to 796 of the family's 1533-position model. The record is from RNAcentral.